This 896-nucleotide ribosomal RNA is filed under the name uncultured bacterium. RNAcentral describes it as "bacterial SSU rRNA". It matches the Rfam family "Bacterial small subunit ribosomal RNA", at positions 28 to 895 of the family's 1533-position model. The record is from RNAcentral.
AACGAACGCUGGCGGCGUGCUUAAUACAUGCAAGUCGAACGAGAACCUUCAGCUUCAACUUCGGUUGUCGCAGUUGGUGAAAGUGGCGAACGGGUGAGUAACACGUGGGCAAUCUGCCCUCAAAUCCGGGAUAAUCCUUCGAAAGGGGGUCUAAUACCGGAGACACCACAGGAUGGCAUCAUCCCGUGGUCAAAGGUGGAGCAAUCUGCUGUUUGAGGAUGAGCCCGCGCCCCAUUAGCUUGUUGGUGAGGUAACGGCCCACCAAGGCAUCGAUGGGUAGCCGGCCUGAGAGGGUGAUCGGCCACACUGGGACCGAGAUACGGCCCAGACUCCUACGGGAGGCAGCAGUAGGGAAUAUUGCGCAAUGGACGCAAGUCUGACGCAGCAACGCCGCGUGAGUGAUGAAGCUCCUUGGAGUGUAAAACUCUGUCAAUGGGGAAGAACAACAUCAGGAGUAACUGCCUGAUGCCUGACGGUACCCAUAGAGGAAGCACCGGCUAACUCCGUGCCAGCAGCCGCGGUAAUACGGGGGGUGCAAGCGUUGUUCGGAUUUACUGGGCGUAAAGGGCGCGUAGGCGGGCCCUCAAGUCGGGUGUGAAAACCGGCAGCUUAACUGCCGGCCUGCAUUCGAUACUAUGGGUCUUGAGUACGGAAGAGGAAAGCGGAAUUCCAGGUGUAGCGGUGAAAUGCGUAGAUAUCUGGAAGAACACCAGUAGCGAAGGCGGCUUUCUGGUCCGAUACUGACGCUGAAGCGCGAAGGCUAGGGUAGCAAACAGGAUUAGAUACCCUGGUAGUCCUAGCGGUAAACGAUGGGUACUAGGUGUCGGGGGUAUCGACCCCCUCGGUGCCGCAGCUAACGCAUUAAGUACCCCGCCUGGGGAGACGGUCGCAAGAUU